GGGAUUCGACUUCCCCUGGGGGUA
Molecule: transfer RNA, 24 nt
Filed under: Pseudoroegneria tauri
Lineage: Eukaryota; Viridiplantae; Streptophyta; Magnoliopsida; Poales; Poaceae
Also listed under: 1 other name
Description: Elymus tauri partial tRNA-Glu
Source: RNAcentral